GAUGAACGCUGGCGGCGUGCCUAAUACAUGCAAGUCGAGCGAACAGACGAGGAGCUUGCUCCUCUGACGUUAGCGGCGGACGGGUGAGUAACACGUGGAUAACCUACCUAUAAGACUGGGAUAACUUCGGGAAACCGGAGCUAAUACCGGAUAAUAUAUUGAACCGCAUGGUUCAAUAGUGAAAGACGGUUUUGCUGUCACUUAUAGAUGGAUCCGCGCCGCAUUAGCUAGUUGGUAAGGUAACGGCUUACCAAGGCAACGAUGCGUAGCCGACCUGAGAGGGUGACCGGCCCCCUGGGAACUGAGACACGGUCCAGACUCCUACGGGAGGCAGCAGUAGGGAAUCUUCCGCAAUGGGCGAAAGCCUGCCGGAGCAACGCCGCGUGAGUGAUGAAGGUCUUCGGAUCGUAAACCUCUGUUAUUAGGGAAGAACAAAUGUGUAAGUAACUAUGCACGUCUUGACGGUACCUAAUCAGAAGGCCACGGCUAACUACGUG
Molecule: ribosomal RNA, 497 nt
Filed under: uncultured bacterium
Lineage: Bacteria
Description: partial 16S ribosomal RNA
Rfam family: Bacterial small subunit ribosomal RNA
Source: RNAcentral